RNAcentral lists this transfer RNA (75 nucleotides) under Bacillus sp. BB081. RNAcentral's name for it is "tRNA-Asn". It matches the Rfam family "tRNA". Rfam says of the family: Transfer RNA (tRNA) molecules are approximately 80 nucleotides in length. Their secondary structure includes four short double-helical elements and three loops (D, anti-codon, and T loops). The record is from RNAcentral. Lineage: Bacteria; Bacillati; Bacillota; Bacilli; Caryophanales; Bacillaceae.
UCCGCAGUAGCUCAGUGGUUGUGCUAUUUGCUGUUAACCGAUCGGUCGUAGGUUCGAGUCCUACCUGCGGAGCCA